RNAcentral lists this ribosomal RNA (585 nucleotides) under uncultured bacterium. RNAcentral describes it as "partial 16S ribosomal RNA". It matches the Rfam family "Bacterial small subunit ribosomal RNA", at positions 355 to 937 of the family's 1533-position model. The record is from RNAcentral.
UGGGGAAUUUUGGACAAUGGGCGAAAGCCUGAUCCAGCAAUGCCGCGUGUGUGAAGAAGGCCUUCGGGUUGUAAAGCACUUUUGUCCGGAAAGAAAUCCUUGGCUCUAAUACAGUCGGGGGAUGACGGUACCGGAAGAAUAAGCACCGGCUAACUACGUGCCAGCAGCCGCGGUAAUACGUAGGGUGCAAGCGUUAAUCGGAAUUACUGGGCGUAAAGCGUGCGCAGGCGGUUUGCUAAGACCGAUGUGAAAUCCCCGGGCUCAACCUGGGAACUGCAUUGGUGACUGGCAGGCUAGAGUAUGGCAGAGGGGGGUAGAAUUCCACGUGUAGCAGUGAAAUGCGUAGAGAUGUGGAGGAAUACCGAUGGCGAAGGCAGCCCCCUGGGCCAAUACUGACGCUCAUGCACGAAAGCGUGGGGGAGCAAAACAGGAUUAGAUACCCUGGUAGUCCACGCCCUAAACGAUGUCAACUAGUUGUUGGGGAUUCAUUUCCUUAGUAACGUACUAACGCGUGAAGUUGACCGCCUGGGGAGUACGGUCGCAAGAUUAAAACUCAAAGGAAUUGACGGGGUCAUAGCUGUUUCC